RNAcentral lists this ribosomal RNA (509 nucleotides) under uncultured Planctomycetaceae bacterium. RNAcentral describes it as "bacterial SSU rRNA". It matches the Rfam family "Bacterial small subunit ribosomal RNA", at positions 90 to 609 of the family's 1533-position model. Lineage: Bacteria; Pseudomonadati; Planctomycetota; Planctomycetia; Planctomycetales; Planctomycetaceae. The record is from RNAcentral.
GGAAAGCGGCGGAAGGGAGAGGACAACAUGGGAAACUGCCCUGGGGACGAGGAUAGCGUCGGGAAACUGACGGUAAUACUCGAUAAUGUUUGCGGACCAAAGGUGUGAUUCCGCCCCAGGAUGUGCCCAUGCCCCAUUAGCUAGUUGGCGGUGUAAUGGACCACCAAGGCUAUGAUGGGUAGCUGGUGUGAGAGCACGACCAGCCUCACUGGCACUGAGACACUGGCCAGACACCUACGGGUGGCUGCAGUCGAGAAUCUUCGGCAAUGGACGAAAGUCUGACCGAGCGACGCCGCGUGCGGGAUGAAGGCCUUCGGGUUGUAAACCGCUGUCGAGGGGAAUCAAAUGCAAGGGGGUUCUCCCCCCUGCUUGAGAGAACCCUGGAGGAAGGGGAGGCUAAGCUCGUGCCAGCAGCCGCGGUAAGACGAGCUCCCCAAACGUUAUUCGGUAUCACUGGGCUUAAAGAGUUCGUAGGCGGCGAAGUAGGUGAGGUGUGAAAGCCCUCGGCU